This is a long non-coding RNA of Chinchilla lanigera (long-tailed chinchilla), 8913 nucleotides long. RefSeq lists it as uncharacterized. The record is from RefSeq and is a predicted model, not a curated record. The transcript has 9 exons. NCBI's taxonomy places the organism in Eukaryota, Metazoa, Chordata, Mammalia, Rodentia, Chinchillidae.
CAAUUUAUUUAUUUCCAUUGGGCUAAUCCCUUCUUCGGAGCACAGCUCCUUUUCAAGUGGCUGCUGCGUUGCGUUGCUGUUUUCCCCCACCCCUUCAGUGCGACUGCCUCAGAGCUGGUGGAGAGACAGAAAGUACGCACGCACCUGGAUAAAUUCGUAGACGUGGAAUUCAUGGAUCAAAUGGUACUUGCAGAGUUAAAGCUGUCUGGAUUCAGUUCCUGGAAUUUUCUAGAAUGGUAUAACAGGAAAAUGUAAGAAAUGUAUGAGGAGCAGAAAUAAACGUGUUUGCCAGGCUGUUGCUGACAGUAGUCUGAUCUAGAGAUUGAGGAUUUUAAGGGAGACUUACCUGGAGAAAAGACUCGCGCCAGCAGUGUACAACUCACCCUUUAGUGCCCACACUGGUCAAAUAAUAUAAACAUGCAUUUGCACCUCCAGCCACAGACCUGGUACACAGACUUUCCCUAAACCACACAGACACACCUCAAGGCGUGGCCAUAAGCGUCCCAGCAAGAGACUUGCCCCAUAGUACGAGGACACGUCCCACAUCACUAGAUUCUUCCCGAGGCACACAGUUUUGCUUCAACACAGAGACCCACCUAAGGGGCACUGAACUUCCCCACAGGACAGAAAUGCCCUGCACAGACAAUCCCAGCAUCACAGAUUGUCUUCAUAUCAGUCAGGCUCUUCCUAGGACACGAAGACGUACAAAUGCAUGACGUAGAACACAAUCUUUCCACAGCCUGCAGAUACUCCCCAUAGCACAAAAAUAUUGCCACAGAACACAGACUGUCUGCAGCACAAAGACUCUCUAGAGCACACAGGCCUGUUCACAGAUCACAGACUCAUGACACAGCUCGAAGAGCCACGCCAUGACACAAGGGCUCUGUUGCAACAGACAGACUCACCACGUGGUGAAAGACGCUGACCACCCCACCAGGACACAGGCUCACUUGCGCUACACAGCCACCCUCCGUGUCGUGUACACCAUGCAGAGUCUCCCCAGGAAACACAGGCUGAAGCCACAGUACACAGUCCCCACACACUCAGAGUUUAGUCCACUGCACAGGGACGCAGGUGUGCGUCCUGCAGCACGCACAUAGCGCGAUGCACAGGAUUGCGUUGCAGCCCACAGAUGGCCCUCCGGUACACUAGCUCACUCCACAGCAAACACAAUGACCAUGUAAUGAAAACACUUCACAGGCCUUCUUAUCGCAUAACAUCUACCCCCCCCCAAAUUCACCCUCACAACGCACACCGCGACCCGUUGUCACCAGAACACAGCCGUAAUAAAUGGACAUGCACCACCGUGCAGAGCACAACACUGCAGCAUGCACACGGGCCACUACCACGGACAAACAUGUUCCGCCACAGAUGUGUAUGCUGCAGGAGCAUCUCACAGUCCACCUUUCCCUCGCUCCUCCUGUGGCAUCCACACAGCUUCCACCGUGGGAAUCAUCCUGACACACGACACCCCAGCCGCACAGUGCUCAGAAUGAUGGAACGGCAUGCGCCUGCUGUCCAACUUUGUUUCCUCAAACCCACACUGCUUACACAGUGUGAACACAUGCUCCCCAACACCUACAACCAUUUGCCAUGUGCUGCUCAAAUUUACCAGAAAGCACCUGCACUGUUUUCACUGCUUGCACUUCUGCCCAGAGUGCAAGCUGUGUGCAGAACUGCACCAAAAUGCAGCUGCUCCCAGUGAUAUACCUACUUUGCUCACAACUCACAAGUACACUGUUGCACACAAAGAUGCACCCUACAUGUGCAGGACACGCACUCAUACCACAGCAGUUAGACUUGCCCUAAAGUCACACUCACAAUACUUAGACAUGCCUUAAAGUUCACAAGCAUGCCUUUGAACACAGAGAUUGAUUGCACAAGUUACAGAAUUGCCUCACAACACAGUCCUAGUCUAGAGCACAAAACCUACAAUGUACAUAAACAUUUCCCACUGUGUAGAUCGCAGGACAUAUUACCCUCCUUUGCAAAGAUUUCCGUUUGAGCACACAGACAUGCAUUACCAUACUGUUGAGCUACAAGUCUGGCAUACAGCAGAGAUACGGCUUUUGCAAUGGUUUAGAGCAAGGCCUCUGGACCCAGACCACCUGGGUUUGAAUCCAGAUACCGUCCCUUGCUAAAUGUAUCACCAUGGAAUGUGAAAAGAGGACCCACAUACUCACACAGAGCUGGUGAAUGCUGCUCUUGAGUGUCAUCCAGCGCAGGCUAGUGAAAUCAUAGCAGUGUGUCCUCAUCCACCUUACUCACCGGAUCUGCCCCCAGAUCAGAAUGAUCAUGAAAGGCAAAUGUGUUGAAUUGAUUCAGGAUAUUGAAGCAGCCACACUAGUGCAACUAAAGACAUGAAAGAGAACUUCCAGAACUGCUUCAUAAAGUGGAAAGAAUGGAGGAGCUCGAAGAUAAAGAAUAUGGAGUAGGAGGAAGAGGGCUUCGCGCCCAGUGCGCAUUGCCAUCUAGUGACCAUGUUGACGGAGACUUCCAGCUGCCUAGCAGCUCGGCUUGACGAGGAUGAGUGACGACCUACAGCAGAAGUGGAGCCUGAGGAUAAGGAUGAUGCAUGGUGGUAUUUGUGGUUCUGACCCUGGCCUGGUAGCCUGAGCUUGAGCCCCGAUCCCUUCACAACUGCAAGUGAUUCUCCUGCAGCAUUUGAGCUUAGCCAUUUUACACCUUUGAGAGAUUGGGAACGAUAUGCAAGUUCACGGCACCAUCGUGUUGUCUUGCUGACUCUGGCAUGCAACAAGGCCAGCAUCUGAGUUAUUUGCUUCCCCUUUGUCCUUAUGCCUGUUGUCCCCACUGCAGCCAUUUAUCAUGUGCAUGUGUCCUUGUACCAAAACUGUCUAGCCCUUCUUAUUUGUCUUGUGAAUUUAUCAUUUGGUUAUUAAGUACUAUAAAUUAAUAUUGUAAACUGCAUAAUGAUGUGAAACUUGAACUGUAAAUUUGCAUAAAUUAGGGUAAGAAUUGGCUCCAAGCAAAAGACAAAGAAGGUAGAUGCUAGAAAAAGGAGUGAAGAGUUUGAGAAAAGUAAUGUUGACAGCAAAUAAAAUGAGAGGUUUGAAAUGCUUGGUAAUGGUGAAAAAUCAAGACCUCCCAAGGGCAUUUUUGGGGCAUUAAUGAAAGUCCAAUUUGUACAAAAGAGAAAAAUGAGAAAUCAGUUAGGGCCAAUACACUGACGGGUACAUCAGAAUCUCUAGGAAAAUUAUACAUAAUUCGAAAUGCUAAAAUACAGAGACAACAGAAAUACAUUUACUUUCAUGGCUUCCAAAACAAAGAAGAUUGAAUAGGCCACUUUCCAUAUAUAUUAUCCGCCAGUGAGCAUCACAAAAAUGCAAGUUUAACUUUCUGUCUGGAACAAAAGUUACACCAUCCAUAGCUGUCAGAGGAAGCAGAUCAUACUGAGAAUAUCUGAAGAGACCGAUCAAAGAAAUGUUUUCCCUGAACAUGUUUUCAGGGCUGAUGGAAUGCUGUGUUCUGGAAGUGCAUGCCAACCUGCACAUCCAUUGCAAAGGAUGACAAAAGGACCAGGAAUUUGAACCCUGGAAAAGACAUGCUCAGAGGACUGCUUCAUUCCAUUGCUGCUUCUGACUUCCUUAGUAAUCACAGGUUGCUCACAAAUUCCAAGGUCCUUACCCUCUGAAUGCCAGAAACAUCUUUCUGCCUAAUGAAUGGAAACCAUAAAAUCUGACCCACUGAAAAACUCUUUUAGAACUGGAUUUUGAAGAAUUUUACUCCUGAGGCUAAAGAAUAUUUUGACAGAAAAAAAUCUUGAAAGUGUUCCUGAAUCUGCACACUGCUCCCACUAAUGAAAGUAUGAGAGUAAAUGCUGAUCCUUGUGUUCUAGUCAACUCCAUUCCCCCUGUAGAAGUUCACUCCUCAAAUCUCUGCCUCUGAUACAGCCCAAAAUGUUCAUGAUGCGCUGUACUCUGAUAGUAGUUUGGCAAAAUUUCUCCAUUUGUAAUGAUUUGACAGUAGGUGAGGAAUCCAUGAGAAAAUAAGUCAGUCAACCCUGAACGGAAUCUGGCAGAAACUUUGAAAUAAGGUGUUAGCUGAUUUUCAAGGUCUCUUUCCAGUAGUGGAAGAAAUUGAAAAUUUUGUAAUAUCUGCAAAACACUUAGUUGUGGGAGGGUUUAAUGAGAUUAAGUGACAUUGCCAAACUGUUAGACUCUCACCCUAUUAAAAGAGCUGAGAAAUAUUUCAGAAAUGUGAUCACAUAAAAUGUUGAUAAAAGAGGCCACAGUAGGUUAACAUCCAAAGCUCAAAGCAAAUCAAAUUGUGAUGAUUCAGAGGAAACAGAUCUUUGAUGGAAUGUAUAUUGAUCUCGGGCAAGGCUUCAAUGAUUAUCCACAAUUCUAUAAAGAGUAGUAAGAAAUCUUCAGACAGAGGUCAGUAAGUCUUCUCUCUCUGCUUAUUUAACAGGGGAGAAGGAUCUGGACUAUCUGCCAUGCCAUCCAAACCUAUAGUUCAAACAACGCUGCAAGCAUAGUUGAAUCUUGGGAUUCAGACUCUGAUGGCUGUAAUGGCGUGGUGAUCCAUUUGCUGGAGUAUGAAAGUGGACAAGAAGACUGAGCUUACUUCUUUUCAGACAAAAUCUGAUUUUCUCUAUUCUUCCCCUAUCACUGCUGUCAUAACUGCCAUUUUUAUUUGUACAUCAUCAUCCUAACCUUGAGAUCAGAGAGAACUAGAAAGCAAUUACCCAAUAAUCACUACGGCUAAUGCAAAAUUUGUAAAGUGUUGAGAUUUACUUUAAUGUUUUAUUUCAGCGGGCAGCCCAGUUGUCUGGGCUUUCACAAUAUUUCCUUCUCUGCCCCAUUUUUUUCCCUAAAAGGUCUCAAAUUCGUCCAACGUACAAACUAUGGAUGUUUCAGGAACUCAGCUCUAGAAUCUAAGGAAAGGGCUACUGUACGGAAUUUGACAAUUUGAUUUCUUACUUUUGACCCUAAUGUUUAUUUUAAUUCUGGUGAAGCUUAACCAUUUUAUUAGAAGGGACUAGUUUAGUAUAAGUUAAUUUGUUUUACAGCUAUGUAUAAGUUGCCUAUUGAACGGUCCUGAAAGACAGUACAUUUAUGAUGAAUUCCUGAAUUUUCAUUGGUGCAUUGUCAAAACGGAAGAGCUGCCAUGAAAAUUAUAGAUCCCCUCUGUUCUCAGAACUGUCCCCAUAUCUACUGAUACAUCUGAUCAUAUAUCUCCUCACUGCUGAUACUUCUUGUUCUCUGAUGGUGGUGGAGAAUUCAUUUCCAGAUUGAGUUAUUUUCUUCCCUCCUCAAUCCAGUAUAUUUAUUUUACAGAUUCGAUUGUUUUUCAAGUGUUAUUAUUUUAGUUUUAGUUUUAGAUAUUUGUAAUUUUCCAAGCAGACUCCACAGAGUGGACAAAUCAUCACAAAUCCAGAAUUAUGCAGCUGAUACCUUACUCUAAGAAUUCUUGGCAAACACAAAUGAUGAACUCUCCAGUUCCUUCGACUGUUCCAUACAUUCUUACAUGAUGUUCAAUUUAAACUCAGAUGGAUAGUUAUUCUGGAUAAUAGAGACACAUAAAGUCUGAAUAAUAUUGUUGUUUCUUCUGUUUUAACUGCUACUCGGGCCAUGAUUAUAGCACUGACACCAUAAUUACAUCUCAUAAUGAUGCACGAGAAAAUCAAAAGCAGGAAUGACAAGUCUGGCAUGAAUUUCCAGAAAGAGACAUUACUUAGCUUGAAAAAACAGAAUGACAGCUGAGAAUGAUGAAAUUUAUGUAUGGUCAUGAAGUAAUGCUGCCUUUGAGCAAUUAUGUCAGAAAUAACACUGGAAAUACACUGAAUAUGGUCUUGUAGGAUGCGUGGAAGAAACCUGCUUGAGUUGAAAUUAGGAAUGAGUGAAGCCAGUAAUUUUGCCCUUAAUCUGGAGGUCUGAAAGAUAGGCUACCUAUAUCUGGAUGAGAAGUGAAGAGGAAAAAAGAAAAAACAUUAAAAAGGAAAAGAAGGCUUGCUUGAAUGGUUAUAAUUAAAAUGGUGAAAGAUUUAUAUGAUCUGAAGAGAAACCAGAGUAUUUGAAUGGUUUUAAUUAAGAAGAAAGAUACCUUCCCCAAGUUCAAAAGAGGCAAGUAGGAGUUAAAAGCCUGCAGUAGGUUGCUGGGGAUCUAGUGACACCAGAGGGCCAGGUGAGGAAUUUGUGCUUUUCCUCUAAGCCACAGUUUUUCUCAACCCUGACCAUAUAUGAGGGUCAUGAUGAGAGUUUUGAAAAAUACUGGGUCCUGCUUCCACACUUGGUGAGCCACUGAUAGGACCAGCGUCUAUAUGUUUGGCAAGUCACUCAAGCAAUUAUUUGUACAAUCAUGGUGUAAACCACUUCUGUAAGACUAUAUAGAAUUAAGAUAGAUAAUAUUAGACAAAUGGCAGUAAAUUCAUGAACUAGAAAAUCUUAAACAGAGGCAUUCUACUACAAGUUCAAGGGAUAGUUUCAUUAAGUAACUUCUCUCAUUCAUUAUGUGUCAAAUGAGAAAAUAGGAUCAUUUGUUCUUCAAGGUCCUGUUUUUGAUGCUACCUUGAGAGAAAGAUGCAUCAAUUUCAUUGGUUAAUUUUGGGAGUACCUAAACCUGCUGAUAGAGACUCAGAUAAAUAGUAAUUGUAUUUCAUUAUAUGCUGUUAUUUUAAAAACUGGGCUUAUAAUUUAAGUUUUACCAUAUUUUAGUUCCUCUCAGAAAACAAAAUUAGGCUUAGAAAUUAUAAAAGAAAAGGCAGACAUAGCAUCAGCUUCCUGAAAUGAAAUACAGAAAAUACUCCCAGGCCGUGUUUUUUUUCUUCCUGUAAUAAUGGUGUUUUUCCCUCUGGGUUUGGGAAAAAUAAUGAAUAGGUAUUGUGUGUAAAAUACUUUAACAUUUUAUACCAUUGUUUCCAAUUUUCCAGAAAACUGGAAAAGUCUAUAUGUAUAAAAUUUUAUGAUUCCAUGGUUAAUCUGCUUAAUCUAGUCUAGAGGUAAAUAUUUUUUAAGUCAACAAUCUUUUUCAUUAGUAUAAUCAGUGGUUCCAUAUGCCUUCAGAGUAUGAACUUUUUGGAUAAUUGGAACAUUUUUGAGAUUACUGCCUGGGAUAGUUUUUUCUUUUAAUUUGAACAGAAUUAGGGAAAUCAAAUUGCAUCAACGAGGAACUCAGUACAAAAUAAGUACAAAAUCAAUGAUUGUAGCUUUUUAAAAAGAAUACCUAUACUUUGGCAUGAUAGGGGGAAACAUUUUUCUAGGGCCCAAGUCAUUUAAAAGAAAAACUGGAAAUCUAAUUCUUGUUUAAGACAUCUAGUUAAAAUAAUCUAAGAAGUAUUACUAAUAAAGUAAAUGAUAGGACAGUUUAAUGUGGUUAAGUUUAAUAAGUCGGUAGAACACAUAGGAGGAUGUGAAAGUUUGGAAGGAUAAAUGGUAAAAGUAGAAUUUGAUGACAACACCGCAGUAUAAAUAGCUAUUGCUCUUUAUGUGUAGAAUACCCUCCCUCCCAUUUGGAAAAUACGGAAAACGUUUAGUAGGUUUGAGUGAUGACUACCUUUUUUUGUCUAAUAAUUUGAAUAAGGCCUUGAGCUAAUAUUAAGAAGCACAAGGAAAGUUUCUUAUAGACAUAUUCAACCACUGUGGCAAAAAGGAACAAAAUAGAAAAAUGAAGGUGAGGGGAAAGGGCAACGCAGGCUGCUAAAAUGCAGAGAAUAUAUUAGAAAACUGACAUUCCUUGUAAAAGGAGACUUUUGGUUAAAAUCUUUUUAAGUUCAAAAUGCAGACAAAGCUUUUUAAAUUGCACAUUUGGCUCACGUAGCUGCCAGCACCACUUCUUAUGUUAGUAAAGGGUUUUGACCGUGUGUGGCAUCUGAAAGCUUAUGUGAAUAAUAUUUGCACUGUGGAAAUAUAUUUAUCAUUGAACUUUACAUAGUAUUGUUAUCUUUUAAUGGUCUUUGCUGUCAGUAUGUUAUGGUUGUUGAAUAGUUCAGAAAUAAAUGUGUGCUAUAAGCACGGUGUGCAUAUUUUGCCAAGCCAUACAAGCAAACAAAAACUAUAUAAAAUAAUAAAUAAUAUGUUUUAUGAGCGUGAAUCACAACUACUGAGAAAUUGAAUCUGAAUGUAGUAUAUUGGAGACAUUGCACUUCAUCCUUUUGGCUUUUCUAAUUAGCCCAUCAUUGGAAACACGAAGCUGACUCUUGGCUAUUUGACAAUGGGACGAUGAGUGGCACAAGGAGAGCGACAUGAGACUUAGAGUGAGGUCUUUAACAUUGACUUCCUGUCUGCUCUGGGUUGAAGACUUUCCCUCUUUGGUGCUUACUGCUUAGUCAUGGCAGCAUCAACCUUGGGUUAUAAGGUUGUGAGGAAUUAGCAUGGAGUCUAUGCUUUGGAAUCAGAGAGACCUGUUUUCAAAUCCUGCUGCUGCCAAUUACCAGCCAUGUGACUGUGGACAUGUCUCUUCGCUUCUGCAUACUUCAGUUUCUAAUCUGUAAAAUGGGGUCAAAAUACCUGCAUUAUAGGGUUCCUAAGAAAUUAUAUGAGAUGCUUAGUACAGUGCCUGGCACAUAGUAAGCGCUCAAUAAAUUGCUGCUAUUAUUAUUAUUAAAACACAGGUAAGAAUUAUAUAACUAGAGGAUGAUAGUUCAUUCCUGUCUUGAUGAAAUGUUAAUAUUUAAUUUCUCUUAAACAAGUUAUAAAUGAUCGCUUUUAGAGAGGAAAAGGAAUAAGAAAUGAAUUCUAAUAUUUUUCUUUGUUGUUGAUGGAUACCUGAAGCAAUAAUUCCUUUGUUAUUAAAUUACUCCUUAACGUGCAGUGAUUACUCAUACUAUAUUUAUAAUGUGGUUAGCAUCACAGGACAUUUAUUUGGUGAUUAAAAGUCAUGACUUUUAACAUGAGUACAUUCCUAUUAUGUAGAAAAUAAACCAUUCACAAGGAUGGUUCUUCAUAACUGGCA